RNAcentral lists this ribosomal RNA (377 nucleotides) under uncultured eukaryote. RNAcentral describes it as "partial 18S ribosomal RNA". It matches the Rfam family "Eukaryotic small subunit ribosomal RNA", at positions 592 to 976 of the family's 1831-position model. The record is from RNAcentral.
CAAUAGCGUAUAUUAAAGUUGUUGCAGUUAAAAAGCUCGUAGUUGGAUUUCGGGGCAGCCUGGCCGGUCCGCCGCAAGGCGAGUACUGGUCAGCCGCCCUUCCUCUCGAAAGCCCCGACUGCUCUUUAUUGCAGUGGUCGGGUAGUUCGGGACGUUUACUUUGAAAAAAUUAGAGUGUUCAAGGCAGGCCUACGCCUGAAUACAUUAGCAUGGAAUAAUGGAAGAGGACCUCGGUCCUAUUUUGUUGGUUUCCAGGACCGAAGUAAUGAUUAAGAGGGACAGUUGGGGGCAUUCGUAUUUAAUUGUCAGAGGUGAAAUUCUCGGAUUUAUGAAAGACGAACAACUGCGAAAGCAUUUGCCAAGGAUGUUUUCAUUAA